ACUGCUCAGUAACACGUGGAUAACCUGCCCAAGGGUCUGGGAUAACCCCGGGAAACUGGGGAUAAUACCGGAUGGAUCACUAGUGCUGGAAUGCUUGGUGGUCGAAAGGUAACGCCUUUGGAUGGGUCUGCGGCGGAUUAGGUUGACGCCGGUGUAACGUACCGGCGUGCCUGUAAUCCGUACGGGUUGUGGGAGCAAGAGCCCGGAGAUGGAUUCUGAGACACGAAUCCAGGCCCUACGGGGCGCAGCAGGCGCGAAAACUCUACAAUGCAGGCAACUGCGAUAGGGGGACAUCGAGUGGCAUCCACCUUGGGUGCCUGUCCAACCGUCUAAAAAACGGUUGUUAGCAAGGGCCGGGUAAGACCGGUGCCAGCCGCCGCGGUAAUACCGGCGGCUCGAGUGGUGGCCGAUAUUAUUGAGUCUAAAGGGUCCGUAGCCGGCUUUGCAAGUCCCCUGGGAAAUCCAGCGGCUUAACCGUUGGGCUUUCAUGGGAUACUACAUUGCUUGGGACUGGGAGAGGUAAGAGGUACUCGGGGGGUAGGGGUGAAAUCCUGUAAUCCUCCGGGGACCACCGGUGGCGAAGGCGUCCUACCAGAACAGGUCCGACGGUGAGGGACGAAAGCUAGGGGCACGAACCGGAUUAGAUACCCGGGUAGUCCUAGCCGUAAACGAUGCCCGCUAGGUGUCACGACGGUCGUGAAUCGUCGUGGUGCCGUAGGGAAGCCGCGAAGCGGGCCACUUGGGAAGUACGGCCGCAAGGCUGAAACUUAAAGGAAUUGGCGGGGGAGCAC
This 791-nucleotide ribosomal RNA is filed under the name uncultured archaeon. RNAcentral describes it as "bacterial SSU rRNA". It matches the Rfam family "Archaeal small subunit ribosomal RNA", at positions 85 to 879 of the family's 1478-position model. The record is from RNAcentral.